Molecule: ribosomal RNA, 250 nt
Filed under: uncultured bacterium
Lineage: Bacteria
Description: partial 16S ribosomal RNA
Rfam family: Bacterial small subunit ribosomal RNA
Source: RNAcentral
GACGAACCGUCCAAACGUUAUUCGGAAUCACUGGGCUUAAAGGGUGCGUAGGCGGCGCGGAAAGUUGGGUGUGAAAUCCCUCGGCUCAACCGAGGAAUUGCGCCCAAAACUUCCGUGCUCGAGGAAGAUAGAGGUGAGCGGAACUUAGGGUGGAGCGGUGAAAUGCGUUGAUAUCCUAAGGAACACCGGUGGCGAAAGCGGCUCACUGGAUCUUUUCUGACGCUGAGGCACGAAAGCUAGGGUAGCGAAC